UGGAAAUUCGUGCCAUGAGCAGGUGGAAGACUAAGGGUACAAGUGUUAUUGGUAAUUAAUGGGCGUAAAGGAUGCGUAGGUGGUUGGUGAGUGCUGAGGUGAAGGCCCGGGGCGGAACCUGGGAAUUGCUUGGGAUACUGGCAGGAUAGAGUGCGGUAGAGGGUAGUGGAAUUCCCGGAGUAGCAGUGAAAUGCGUAGAGAUCGGGAGGAGCAUCCGUGGCGAAGGCGACUACCUGGACCAGCACUGACACUGAGGCACGAAAGCGUGGGGAGCAAACAGGAUUAGAUACCCUGUUAGUC
Molecule: ribosomal RNA, 300 nt
Filed under: uncultured Enterococcus sp.
Lineage: Bacteria; Bacillati; Bacillota; Bacilli; Lactobacillales; Enterococcaceae
Description: bacterial SSU rRNA
Rfam family: Bacterial small subunit ribosomal RNA
Source: RNAcentral